UACGUAGGGUGCAAGCGUUGUCCGGAAUCACUGGGCGUAAAGGGCGCGUAGGCGGCGCGGUUAGUCGGCGGUGAAAGCCCGAGGCUCAACUUCGGGUCGGCCGUCGAUACUGCUGCGCUGGAGCACUGUAGAGGCAGAUGGAAUUCCGGGUGUAGCGGUGGAAUGCGUAGAGAUCCGGAAGAACACCGGUGGCGAAGGCGGUCUGCUGGGCAGUUGCUGACGCUGAUGCGCGACAGCGUGGGGAGCAAACAGG
Molecule: ribosomal RNA, 253 nt
Filed under: uncultured bacterium
Lineage: Bacteria
Description: partial 16S ribosomal RNA
Rfam family: Bacterial small subunit ribosomal RNA
Source: RNAcentral